This 404-nucleotide ribosomal RNA is filed under the name uncultured bacterium. RNAcentral's name for it is "bacterial SSU rRNA". It matches the Rfam family "Bacterial small subunit ribosomal RNA", at positions 355 to 776 of the family's 1533-position model. The record is from RNAcentral.
UGGGGAAUAUUGGACAAUGGGCGAAAGCCUGAUCCAGCCAUGCCGCGUGAGUGAUGAAGGCCCUAGGGUUGUAAAGCUCUUUUGUCCGGGAAGAUAAUGACUGUACCGGAAGAAUAAGCCCCGGCUAACUUCGUGCCAGCAGCCGCGGUAAUACGAAGGGGGCUAGCGUUGCUCGGAAUCACUGGGCGUAAAGCGCACGUAGGCGGGCUCUUAAGUCGGAGGUGAAAUCCCAAGGCUCAACCUUGGAACUGCCUUCGAUACUGAGAGUCUUGAGUCCGGAAGAGGUAAGUGGAACUCCGAGUGUAGAGGUGAAAUUCGUAGAUAUUCGGAAGAACACCAGUGGCGAAGGCGGCUUACUGGUCCGGUACUGACGCUGAGGUGCGAAAGCGUGGGGAGCAAACAGG